GGCUAGUCCAAAGGUAGUGAGUUAUCUGAGUUGAUUGUUCACAGUCAGUAACAGAUCAGACUCCUUAUUUUACUCUCACUACUGCACUUGACUAGUCUGAA
RNAcentral lists this Y RNA (101 nucleotides) under Cercocebus atys (sooty mangabey). RNAcentral describes it as "Y RNA (ENSCATG00000000726.1)". It matches the Rfam family "Y RNA". From Rfam's summary of the family: Y RNAs are components of the Ro ribonucleoprotein particle (Ro RNP), in association with Ro60 and La proteins. The Y RNAs and Ro60 and La proteins are well conserved, but the function of the Ro RNP is not known. The record is from Rfam by way of RNAcentral. Lineage: Eukaryota; Metazoa; Chordata; Mammalia; Primates; Cercopithecidae.